GUCCCCUCUUUUGUGUCUGAAGACAGCUACAGUGUGCUCAUGUACAUAAAAUAAAUUUUUUUAAAAAACGACCCAAGGUUGUUAAAAAGCGGUCCACAAAGUUUGUGGAGAAAGAGGGGGCCGUCUUCCCUGUGCUAAAGUACCUGAACACCCUGGGGUAGGGUGGUUGCCAAGGGGAGCAGCCAAUCAUCACUAGUGCCAGUCUUCACCAAAAGGCCUGCUGUGUACCAAGGGGAGAAAGUUAAACCUAAGUCGGUCACCGGGCAUAGAUGCAUUGGGAUAGCAGGUGCUUGCACAACCUCCUAGGACAAGGCUACCUGGGACGACCUUGAGAGCUCAUUGCUGGACAAGUGGACCUGAGCCACCCAAAUGACAGGCUCCCCAUGCUGAGCAUGAAAACUGAAGGCAGACAGUGGCUGGCAUGACACUUCUCAUCUGUAGUCCUGUUAGGAAAGAUGAGAACUUCCCUCUUGGUAUUCAACGCCCU
Molecule: long non-coding RNA, 487 nt
Filed under: Rattus norvegicus (Norway rat)
Lineage: Eukaryota; Metazoa; Chordata; Mammalia; Rodentia; Muridae
Description: long non-coding RNA NONRATT013214
Source: RNAcentral